This 65-nucleotide transfer RNA is filed under the name Chamberlainia hainesiana. Its description in RNAcentral is "tRNA-Asn". The record is from RNAcentral. Lineage: Eukaryota; Metazoa; Mollusca; Bivalvia; Unionida; Unionidae.
AGGGCAGAAGCUGUGUUCAGCAGCUGGCCGUUACCCAGUUUACAGUGACAUGAUCACCUACCCUC